GAUGAACGCUGGCGGCGUGCCUAAUACAUGCAAGUCGAGCGAACAGAUGAGGAGCUAGCUCCUCUGACGUUAGCGGCGGACGGGUGAGUAACACGUGGAUAACCUACCUAUAAGACUGGGAUAACUUCGGGAAACCGGAGCUAAUACCGGAUAAUAUAUUGAACCGCAUGGUUCAAUAGUGAAAGACGGUUUUGCUGUCACUUAUAGAUGGAUCCGCGCCGCAUUAGCUAGUUGGUAAGGUAACGGCUUACCAAGGCAACGAUGCGUAGCCGACCUGAGAGGGUGAUCGGCCACACUGGAACUGAGACACGGUCCAGACUCCUACAGGAGGCAGCAGUAGGGAAUCUUCCGCAAUGGGCGAAAGCCUGACGGAGCAACGCCGCGUGAGUGAUGAAGGUCUUCGGAUCGUAAAACUCUGUUAUUAGGGAAGAACAAAUGUGUAAGUAACUAUGCACGUCUUGACGGUACCUAAUCAGAAAGCCACGGCUAACUACGUG
Molecule: ribosomal RNA, 497 nt
Filed under: uncultured bacterium
Lineage: Bacteria
Description: partial 16S ribosomal RNA
Rfam family: Bacterial small subunit ribosomal RNA
Source: RNAcentral